CUUACACUGCGGGCUGUUGGUGCUCGUGCCGGCGUUCACGCCGGCGCAGUUAAACGGGAAGCAGAGGAGGGGGACCCACCGGGUGCUCCUUCAGCCUGCGCUGCCCCCGCAACGGUCAGCGGACGAAGCCAGAACGCCUGCGUUCACACUUCCGCUCUCGCGCACAUGCCACUGGAGUCUCCGGCUCUGGGAAGGUCGCGAGGGUCGUUCCGCCAGCCCGGAUACCGGCCAACGGGAGGCGUGCUGC
This 247-nucleotide non-coding RNA is filed under the name Methylibium petroleiphilum. Lineage: Bacteria; Pseudomonadati; Pseudomonadota; Betaproteobacteria; Burkholderiales; Sphaerotilaceae. RNAcentral also lists the same sequence under 1 other name. The record is from RNAcentral.